AGAGAGAGAGAAGGGGCAGCACUCUAUGGCUUCUGUUUAGUACAUCGACGUUGCCAGCAUUACUACUCUUGCGCUCCAGGACCAUUAUGCAGUAAAAUCAGGGUGAUCUGAACACAAGCAUGGUGGCACCACCAUAGUCGAUCUGAUCUCUGAGGUUGCUGCUCAGUGAGUCAUGAGUGGGGAGCAUGGAUAGCGUGGAUCCGCUGGACAGAGGCUGAUUCACUUCCCAGGAAUGAACGUGGAAGUGUAUCCAACUGGAAGAAUAAGUCCAAACCAAGGAGAUUUUGAGAGUCAAACUUAGGGAAAACCAAGAAGAAACUAAAAGUCCAGAGAUUGAACCACCAAAUGUAAGAACUAAUCUCCUACUAAUAGGAGGAAUCAACAUGUUCUUUCCAACAGACCUGUAGCCUCUGAUGGCACACAGUGUCACUGAGAUCAGCUGGGUGGUCAGGUGUUUGAGCCACCUUGAAACACCAGCAGCUGAGGAAAAGAGCUCCUGCUGCACCUGCUGGGAGCGGUGGGGUUGGGGCUUCCCACUUCCCGAAGCCCUGGAAAAGGGCACCCAGACAUUUUACAGAAU
RNAcentral lists this long non-coding RNA (580 nucleotides) under Homo sapiens (human). RNAcentral's name for it is "HSALNT0300193". Lineage: Eukaryota; Metazoa; Chordata; Mammalia; Primates; Hominidae. The record is from RNAcentral.